CUUUUACUUUUACUUUGUACUUCAAGUAUUUUUUAAGGAUACUUUCUACUUUUUACUUAAGUACGUUUUGCUUCCAAUACUUUUUACUCUUACUCAAGUCGUUUUAUUGUUAAUUACUUCUAAUUUUACUCGAGUACAAAUUCAAAGUAAUUUAGGCACCACUGGGUGAGGUGAGGUGAGGUGAGGUGAGGUGAGGUGAGGUGAGGUGAGGUAAGGUAAGGUAAGGUAUAGGUGAGGUGAGGUAAGGUAAAGUGGUCAUCAUGAGGUGAGCUGUAGUGAGGUGACAUGCAGUGAGGUGACGUGCAGUGAUCUGUAUUGAGGUGCAAUCUGCGUUCAUGUGAGGAGAGAUGAGGUGAGGUGUGGUGUGGUGUGGUGAGGUGUGGUGUGGUGUGGCGAGGUGCAGUGAUCUGUGUCGAGGUGCAAUAUGUGUUGUGUUGAGGUGUGGUGAGGUGACUGGUGCGGUGUGGUGAGGUGCGGUGUGGUGAGGUGCGGUGUGGUGAGGUGCGAUGAGGUGUGGUGAGGUGAAAGUAGGCUCAGAUAUUUCAAAUGACUCCAUCACAUGACAUGUUUUACCAGAAAGUUUGUGUUGUCGAGCAUCGGUAAUACCAGUUUCCUGAGCCCACUUUUUGAUCAUUAAGGCCAGCGGCCGCACACGUGGAUCCAUAAACGCGUAACACUUGAGCAAAUAAGUGCUUCGAAUCCCGUUUUCUUGAUUGUAACUAAUAUCACCCUCGUAGGAGGAAAUAUGGUCACAGACUUUUAGGAUUGGUACUUUUGCUGAGUAAAUUGACUAAAAAACAGAACGUAGAUAGAUUUAGUAAGCGAGCAGGCUCUGGAGAAAUUGGAAGGUGAACCUGCACGGAC
Non-coding RNA from Paramuricea clavata, 864 nucleotides. The record is from the annotation of a GenBank genome assembly. Lineage: Eukaryota; Metazoa; Cnidaria; Anthozoa; Malacalcyonacea; Plexauridae.